This 620-nucleotide ribosomal RNA is filed under the name uncultured Pedobacter sp. Its description in RNAcentral is "bacterial SSU rRNA". It matches the Rfam family "Bacterial small subunit ribosomal RNA", at positions 87 to 705 of the family's 1533-position model. Lineage: Bacteria; Pseudomonadati; Bacteroidota; Sphingobacteriia; Sphingobacteriales; Sphingobacteriaceae. The record is from RNAcentral.
UCUUGAGACCGGCGCACGGGUGCGUAACGCGUAUGCAACCUACCUUUAUCUGGGGGAUAGCCCGGAGAAAUCCGGAUUAAUACCGCAUAAAAUCACAGUAUUGCAUAAUACAAUGAUCAAACAUUUAUGGGAUGAAGAUGGGCAUGCGUGUCAUUAGCUAGUUGGCGGGGUAACGGCCCACCAAGGCGACGAUGACUAGGGGAUCUGAGAGGAUGACCCCCCACACUGGUACUGAGACACGGACCAGACUCCUACGGGAGGCAGCAGUAAGGAAUAUUGGUCAAUGGAGGCAACUCUGAACCAGCCAUGCCGCGUGCAGGAAGACUGCCCUAUGGGUUGUAAACUGCUUUUAUCCGGGAAUAAACCUAUUUACGAGUAAAUAGCUGAAUGUACCGGAAGAAUAAGGAUCGGCUAACUCCGUGCCAGCAGCCGCGGUAAUACGGAGGAUCCAAGCGUUAUCCGGAUUUAUUGGGUUUAAAGGGUGCGUAGGCGGCCCGUUAAGUCAGGGGUGAAAGACGGUAGCUCAACUAUCGCAGUGCCUUUGAUACUGACGGGCUUGAAUGAACUAGAGGUAGGCGGAAUGAGACAAGUAGCGGUGAAAUGCAUAGAUAUGUCUCAGA